GACGAACGCUGGCGGCGUGCCUAAUACAUGCAAGUAGAACGCACAGUUUAUACCGUAGCUUGCUACACCAUAAACUGUGAGUUGCGAACGGGUGAGUAACGCGUAGGUAACCUGCCUGGUAGCGGGGGAUAACUAUUGGAAACGAUAGCUAAUACCGCAUAAUAUUAAUUAUUGCAUGAUAAUUGAUUGAAAGAUGCAAUUGCAUCACUACCAGAUGGACCUGCGUUGUAUUAGCUAGUAGGUGAGGUAACGGCUCACCUAGGCGACGAUACAUACCCGACCUGUGAGGAUGAUCGGCCACACUGGGACUGAGACACGGCCCAGACUUCUACGGGAGGCAGCAGUAGGGAAUCUUCCGCAAUGAACGAAAGUCUGACCGAGCAACGCCGCGUGAGUGAAGAAGGUUUUCGGAUCGUAAAGCUCUGUCGUAAGAGAAGAACGGGUGUGAGAGUGGAAAGUUCACACUGUGACGGUAUCUUACCAGAAAGGGACGGCUAACUACGUG
Molecule: ribosomal RNA, 505 nt
Filed under: uncultured bacterium
Lineage: Bacteria
Description: partial 16S ribosomal RNA
Rfam family: Bacterial small subunit ribosomal RNA
Source: RNAcentral